UGUAAAAUUUUGCAUGUAUUAUUUCUUUGCUUUGCGGCAAAAUAUGUAACCUGUUUCCCUGGCGGUUGGAACAACAUUCCAUUAUAUUCUCCAAGUAGUACCAUCUCUGUUUACGAAGCGGCGAAAUAUAUAGGAGGACAAUACCCUUCCCCAGUGCUCGCUAGAAAAUGGCUUGAGUUCCAGCCUAAUUUUGACAUCUAUAAAGUCAAAUUCACCUCUCACUUUAGAGAUGGAAUUCGACGGUUAUGUGAAACAGACGUUCUCUGGACGAUAAAACCCUCGAAGAAAACUACUUUUAAUAUCAGAUGCAACCCACCAUGGAGUUCAAGUCUUUUACCACAGGCUGUUGGCAUGUCUUAAAGACAAUCGAAGAAG
Molecule: long non-coding RNA, 375 nt
Organism: Ruditapes philippinarum (Manila clam)
Lineage: Eukaryota; Metazoa; Mollusca; Bivalvia; Venerida; Veneridae
Exons: 3
Source: RefSeq, a predicted model, not a curated record